UAGGAUUCGGCGCUCUCACCGCCGCGG
RNAcentral lists this non-coding RNA (27 nucleotides) under Gallus gallus (chicken). RNAcentral also lists the same sequence under 2 other names. Lineage: Eukaryota; Metazoa; Chordata; Aves; Galliformes; Phasianidae. The record is from RNAcentral.